RNAcentral lists this ribosomal RNA (445 nucleotides) under uncultured bacterium. RNAcentral's name for it is "partial 16S ribosomal RNA". It matches the Rfam family "Bacterial small subunit ribosomal RNA", at positions 354 to 796 of the family's 1533-position model. The record is from RNAcentral.
GUGAGGAAUAUUGCGCAAUGGAGGCAACUCUGACGCAGCCAUGCCGCGUGCAGGAAGAAGGCGCUACGCGUUGUAAACUGCUUUUAACCGGGAAGAAACCCCAGGACGUGUCCUGGGUUGACGGUACCGGAGGAAUAAGCACCGGCUAACUUCGUGCCAGCAGCCGCGGUAAUACGAAGGGUGCAAGCGUUAUCCGGAUUCAUUGGGUUUAAAGGGUGCGUAGGCGGAGCGUUAAGUCAGUGGUGCAAUCCUGCAGCUUAACUGUAGACUUGCCAUUGAUACUGGCGCUCUUGAGUGCGCUUGAAGUGGGCGGAAUGUGCCGUGUAGCGGUGAAAUGCUUAGAUAUGGCACAGAACACCAAUUGCGAAGGCAGCUCACUAAGGCGAUACUGACGCUGAGGCACGAAAGCGUGGGGAUCGAACAGGAUUAGAAACCCUUGUAGUCC